Long non-coding RNA from Lotus japonicus, 882 nucleotides. RefSeq lists it as uncharacterized. NCBI's taxonomy places the organism in Eukaryota, Viridiplantae, Streptophyta, Magnoliopsida, Fabales, Fabaceae. The record is from RefSeq and is a predicted model, not a curated record. The transcript is spliced from 2 exons.
UCCACGAAAUAUGUCGAAAACCAUGGCAUCUCGAGUAAAACCACCAUGUAAGUUCAUAGUUGACCCACACAUCUUUAAAAUUCACAUGGCAGGAUUGACUUGAAAAAAAAAUCCUUUAUCCCAAUAAAAUAAGAUACCUCCUCGUUUCAAAACUAUAUAUUCACAAAGUUCUUUAAAAAUCGCCAAAUCACCUGAUGUGGUUAUAGCUUAAAUCCUCUGCUAAUUAAGGACUAAGCAGGGGCGGACUCACGUUGAACUGAGGGGGUUCAACUGAACCCCCUGAAAAAAAAAAUCCUACUUACCCCCCUAGAGUGAUUUUUUUUUAACCCCUGAAAUUUGAAAAUUGCACCCAGGUCUCAGUCAACACUCAGUCACUCAUUCCUCACUCCUCUCUCUCUCUCUCUUCCUCACACACUCACUCUCUCACGGUCUCAACUCUCACCUUCACUCACGAAUCACGAUCCAGAGUUCCAGACCACCACCACGGUACCACCACUACACCAGGCCCCAGCCACCACCAUGGAUGGCACCACUCAUUGAUUCACGGUUCGACUGUUUCAGUGUUCACUCUUUUCUCUCUCUCUCUCAACGCUGCAACCCACCAGGCGGCAGCCACAGCCCACCAACGCCACCAGUCCACCACCACCACCACCGCCCACCGGCGGCCGCCCAACGCACCACCACUCUCUCUCUCUGCUGCUGUUGAAGACUUGAAGCUUGAAGUGAAAUUAGACUGGGAAAUAAGCUUGUUGUCUUGGUUUGAGAUUGGAAAUUUGGAAUGUGAAGGGAAAUGAUUUCAUAUUGCUCAAGUCUGUCAUGAAUGAUUUGUAUAUAACUUCAUGUAUUAAUCUAAUUUAAGUCUACUCUAUCUUGUGAAGAAAA